Molecule: long non-coding RNA, 2648 nt
Organism: Ornithodoros turicata
Lineage: Eukaryota; Metazoa; Arthropoda; Arachnida; Ixodida; Argasidae
Exons: 3
Source: RefSeq, a predicted model, not a curated record
UGCCUUGCAUCUUCCAUCCUUUGGCAUUACUUAAGAUUUUCCCGGAAUAAAUGCAUGUACAUAAGCACAUCUACUCUGUGUAAGAAUGGCUUUUUCAACACUAAAAACAAGUAUGCUUCAUGUUACAAGCGAUUUAUUUGCAGUGGCUCCCUGCCUGUGUUCCAAGCAUACUCAAGACACAUCUUACAUUCAGACGAAAUGCUUUUUUCACUCAAUGUCUUCUCUGAAAAGCAGUCCUUCCGAUGCUCGAAACCUGUUUUCUUUGUUGCUCCAAGCCUUCACUGUCCUCGUGGUUGGUCUCUAUGAUGGAGACCAAGUGUGCUGAUCUUUGAUUUGAUGAAGUCUUCACCUCUGCAGAAGCAAUCUGCUACCAAAGUCUUUCUCUCACUUAACAGAAAUUUCUGUAUUUAGGGACUUCGACUCAAAUGUGAGUGUCAUUUUUGGAAAAUGUAGAAUAGCAUAUCCUUUGGAUUCGUUGUGUAGUCCACAUGUUGAUACUAAAGGAUAUGUUGAUAUGUGUCUUGCCUUCUUUCUCCCAUUGCCAAUCCUGUAUCAGUUAAGUUCCUGCUUUCUUUUGUUUGUUCUUUGAGACCACUGCUAUACUCAAGACACUCAGCAGGAUUAUCACUGUGUUUCACAUUCAUGGUAACAUGCUUGCUUUUCCUAAUGUUAGCAGUUAGGAGACCACCUACCGGAUGUAUCUGCAUCAGUAUAUCAAGUGUGCCUGAUCAUCGUCACUGAGGAGUCAUGCCAAGUAGGCAUAAUGCUUUUGCCUUGACCCUUUUGCAAGAGCCUGUCAUCAAUCUGCUGCAUAGCUUCCUCAGACGGUCAAUAUGAGUAUCCAGAAAUAAUUAAUUCCAAAAACCUGAUAUGUAAAUGUGUUUCCAGGCGAUCUGAACACAAGCACCACUUCACUAGAGAGAACUGAUGUUCUGAGGCUGGAACAACAUAGAAGGGACAAUCACAUACAAGGCUUCAAGUUGCCUAAGAAAUUAACCAUGAAAGAUGGAAGUCACUGAAAAGGUUAGCCAGCUGUAGGACUCGAACCCACAUCUUCUGGAUUACCGAUUACCAAUCCAGAAGAUGUGGGUUCGAGUCCUACAGCCUGCUAACGUUUUCAGUGACUUCCAUCUUUCAUGCAGCAUUUUUACCACUUUCCCUUGUUGCUUUUUUGUAAAAGCUUACCACAGUGUACCGAGCUCCUGAACCUUACAAGUGUUCUAGGCCCAUAAUGGCGUGUGCCAUUCUUUAUAUGUGAAAACCUCAGCUCAGCCAACAAAGUCAUCCUAAGGGAGGCCGGAAUAUAUGCAAAGCAACACAAUUUUGCAUUUGUAUGAGUUUGCUAUGCCCCAUAUUUCUGAGACAGAGUGAACGAGAUAAGGUGCAUCGUAUCAUGCACAGACGUGACCUCUCACUGCUGUAGGUCGGCCCACUCUGAUGUUCAUGUUCAUGUUCUGCAUCAUUAUAUGCCUUGUCAAAAAUCAGGUUCCUUCCUGUUCCAAUGAUGUUGAAAGUCUACUACACCUUAGUUCACUCGCACCUUAAUUGUGCAGCUGAAGUGUACGGUCUUUGUUACUGAUUCCAAAGCUAGUACUACGAACAAUACUUAGAAUUCCAGCAGCUAAUUCCAUCAUUUUUCCUUUCUCGUUCCUAUUAGUUACAAAAUACAAAGUUUAAUCUGCACUGCUGACAUGCCGCAUAUUGUAACCGUCACUAAUAUUGUUUUCCCAUAUCUGCUACGACGGGAUUUCUCUACUUUCGUCUAUCCCCACCACACGUAAGAUAUGGAACACACUCACUGUAUUACACUGACCCAGACUUAUGGAAUAAAUUGCCAUUUCAUAUACACCAGAUCAAUAACUAUAUAUUUUCUGUUCAAGAGGAAAGUUAGUGUAUUUCCUUGCGUGCAUGUACAACCCUGUUGUAUGAUUGUCUUUGAGUUCACCGAUUACUUUUUGCAUUUUUUGCUUGGUUUGAAAUGUGUUUUGCGUACCAAAGAUAAGCUAAAUUUUGUAAUAUUACAGCAUGUAUCGGUCGAUAAUAGUAGUCUUGAUCUUUCUCUUGUUUUAUAUCCAGGAGUUUUUUAAUUUACUCGAGAUGCCAAAUGUUGCCUCACAAGAUUAUAUUCGUCUACCUAUACAUGAUGUGUUGUUACCUAUGGGAGUGCGUAACAGGCUUGUCCUAGCAGUCCCAUAGGUAACAACACAUAAUGUACAGGCAGACAAAUAAACUAUCAAUAUCUAUCUAUCUUUUGGAGACCUCACACUCAUUUCCCUUUGAGUCUCGGACUCUUUUGGCUCCAGUGCUUCAGCAUUUGGCUUAGCUUAGCUCCACUUAUGUUUAUGAUUACUUUUGAAUGCCACCUGCUUUUCCAUCUUUUUUUGCAGCCGGAAGCGAACGACUCUCUUCACAUUGUGUAUCUCAUUCCGAGCCCUUCCCAUUACCAACGCCUUCAACUUUGCUAGCAGGGUAUCUAUGGCCACAGCAAUCUUUUACCCCCAAUAUCUCAAACGACUGCUAUGGCCAUGUACAAUCCAACUUUUCUAAUUUGUCCCUCACACUCAACCGCCACUCAGAAGAAAGGCGGAUGGAGGAUGGGAGAUGGUGCAUUUGUAAAUUGCUGUAAAUAAACAAGUGAUUGAAACGUA